This 3054-nucleotide long non-coding RNA is filed under the name Cricetulus griseus (Chinese hamster). RNAcentral describes it as "lncRNA (ENSCGRG00015031549.1)". The record is from RNAcentral. Lineage: Eukaryota; Metazoa; Chordata; Mammalia; Rodentia; Cricetidae.
AAAAAUUCGCAUGUUAUACACAACAGAGGAAGAGAACCGGGGCUCUGUUUAUGGGUCUCAUCCUUGAACCUGGCCAGUGUGCAGCUCAAAAACUGAGCUCAUAAUUGUUAGGUUAGUACAUGUUCAAUGGGGUCUGAAAGUGGUACAUGGUGACACAAGCUACUUGUGGGAAGCUGAGACAGGGGGAUCAAAAGUUCAAGGCUAUCCUAGAUUAUAAAGUGAGUUCAAGGCUGGCCCCGGCAACUCAGCGAAAACCUAUCUCAGAAGAGGGUUGGUGAUAUAUUUCCGUGGCAGACUGCUUCCCUCGCAUGGGUGGCUGGAUUCAAUCCUCAAAGAAUAAGAAAGAAAGAAAAAAAGAAAGGUCCGAACGAACGCAUUGAAACUCUGUGUCCUAGAAGGUUCCAGAAUGGACAAAGCAGGAAGAAGGGUGGAAGCCUGGAUGGGUAACAGGACAGUUUGUGAGUGUCUGCCUAUAACGUGGGGGUGGGGAUCUGCAUGGGGACUCACAGGGGAGGAGUGCUAUUCCCUCCCAUGCACAGGCCUUUCUGAGAUCCCAACCCCACCCCAUCAGAGAGAUCAUCCUGGGAGCUGCAGGCAAAACCAAAGCUGAAAUAAACACUCAGGUCCAAACGGCCCAAGUUUUAGCUUGAGUGGGUCUCCUCCCAGGGUGCUUGCUUCCACACCAGGGAAACACAGAGUGGAGCAGCAGAGUGGCAGGGGGCCUCUCCGUCCUGCAUUGAUGAGAUUAGCUGAGCACAGGAGGCCAGCAGAUGUCCCCUUUCUGGACUUGGUGACUCAUGGCCUUCCCGCUGGAGUGAGGGAUCCGGCCAGCCUAAGCCUGCUUAGCUGGUGGGGAUGCAGGGCAAAGUUCAGGGUACACAUGACGGUCAAGGAGGGAGGCUGGGCUGAGGGUGAGGAUGAGGACAGCAUGUCUUGCUCUGCAGACAGCAGGCAUGGCUGUCCUAAGAGGGGAAGGGCUGCUUGGAUAGGGUCAGGAACUGUGCUAGAGAUGGGCAAAUGGGUGGCCUUUAAAGGAGGGUCGUAGUCAUCACUGGUUGGAUGCAGGCCAGAUCCUUCCAUCUUUUGGCUCUGCCAGAGGGACAGGGGAACUCUUUCUGAAAAGAGCUGAGCAGUAGAAACUUUGAAUUUUGCAACUCACUCUAUUUCUGCUGCAACUGGAGAACCUGGAACUCCAGGCUCAGGAAUGUGGACUUCACACCAGAACUGUGGGUGCCCAACACAGGGUGAUAAGCAUGGGGUGUGGUCAGACCCAGACUCUGAGAGCAUCAGUUUAGAUGUGGAGAGGCUUACAGAAUAGGAAAUCCCUCGGGGAGCCUGGGAGCUGUCAGAAACAACACCUGUGAGAUGGGAACUGUGGGAACAGCAGGUGUAAGAGCACAGAUGAGAGGAUGAAGGCCAUGCCUGGAACAGAAAGUCCAUUUGGCUGGGGCGUCUGUGGGCCCCCCUGGUUAUGCUGCAGAUGUGAGAAGUGGGACUUGGUCCUGAAGAACCUGGAACUCCAGGCUCAGGAAUGUGGACUUCACACCAGAUCUGUGGGUGCCCAACACAGGGUGAUAAGCAUGGGGUGUGGUCAGACCCAGACUCUGAGAGCAUCAGUUUAGAUGUGGAGAGGCUUGCAGAAUAGGUGGGUGGGGUAUCUUCAUCUGGGGGUUUCUCCCAUCUACUGCUCCUUCCUACUUCUGAUUGCCAUAGGUAGAAGGCACAGGGGGGGCAGUAGCUUCCAGUGGCUUCUGGAAGCCCUGCCUUUCUGAUCAGGGCAGGAUGUAGGAAAGGAUGCCCCACUCCUGCACCCCUCCCCUACUUUCCUCUGCCCUCUCCUUCCCUCCCUGAUAGCCCCUAUCUGAGACUCGCCCUCCCUCUUCCUGCUCCCGGGGCCUCUUGCCCUGGACUGUGUUGGCAAUCAGUGUUGUUGGUCUCCAUGGAGCCAGGUCCAGGAUCCCCCACUCUGGCCACACAGCCCGAAGCAGCCUCAGUUCCAACUUCAUCUUUCUGUGCACCUCUGGGGAGCCUCUACCCCUUCUCUCCUGAGUUUCCUGGACCAGACUCCAGUUCUGAUGUCACAGGGCCCAACUGUGCCUGGCAGCUGCCUUUACCCUUGCUGGUCAUUAUCAAAGACACACAUACAGGUGCUAACUGCUGUUAUUCACUGUUGCUACUGAAUGACUAAGAACACAAUGGAUGGAUAGAUGAAGAAGACCAUGUGAUUGGUUGCCUGGGAUGGGGUGUGGGAGGAUGCUGAAGGUCUGUUAUGUGCUUGGCUGAAACAGCUAAUUCACCAGGUAACAUAAGUUAGUCACUCACUUAUUGGCUGCACUAUUUAGGAAACUUCUCCCCUUUCUCUCUUUCAACUUCAACGUUCUACAAGAGGGGAUGCCAGCAAGCUCCCCACCUCAGAGUGCCACAUGCAUUGAAUGGCAAUAUUCUAUGGCAGGGUUUGUCCUCCAUCAAGCCCAACUCUUAAUUAUGACAAAAUGAGUACCCUGUUGGUGUGUAUGGCAGAUUCUGACCUUCAUAGCUGUCUCUAUGGCUCCCCACUUGGUGGAAGAGGAGCCAGAGGCUCAGAGAGGUGGAGCACUGUGCCUCAGGUCACACAGCAGCUGAGCCCAGGGAUUGACAGAGUGGAGAUAGAGAUCUGAGUGUGACCACUGACCUCUUCUGCUGACCAAAGCCUUGGGCCUUGAGCUUCAAGUCCCUCGGCCACUCCCUGGGCCCCUUCCCACGCUCCCUGGCCUUCCCUUCCUGUUCCACUGGGCUCCUGGUGUCCUGAGUCUGGAAAGUUCCAGAAGCCUGGGAGAGAUAAGGAGUUUCUUGCUUGCCCAGGCUAUGGGCAGUGCCUGACUGUGGCCCCUUUGAUCAGAGGUCUCUUAGUGUUGCCAGUCAGCUGCUUGGCAAGGCAGAUAUCUGUGAUGGGGACAGCCUGGGAGAGCCACCUGGAUGGCCACCUCCCCUUGCCUUUACAGCAGUGCCUGUCCCUGCAGACAGGAAGCUGUGUCCUGCACUGGUGGUGGGACCAGCUGCCUUGACAGCCAGCCA